AUUGAACGCUGGCGGCAGGCCUAACACAUGCAAGUCGAGCGGAGGAAGGGAGUUUGCUCCUGGAUUCAGCGGCGGACGGGUGAGUAAUGCCUAGGAAUCUGCCUGGUAGUGGGGGAUAACGUCCGGAAACGGGCGCUAAUACCGCAUACGUCCUGAGGGAGAAAGUGGGGGAUCUUCGGACCUCACGCUAUCAGAUGAGCCUAGGUCGGAUUAGCUAGUUGGUGGGGUAAAGGCCUACCAAGGCGACGAUCCGUAACUGGUCUGAGAGGAUGAGCAGUCACACUGGAACUGAGACACGGUCCAGACUCCUACGGGAGGCAGCAGUGGGGAAUAUUGGACAAUGGGCGAAAGCCUGAUCCAGCCAUGCCGCGUGUGUGAUGAAGGUCUUCGGAUUGUAAAGCCCUUUAAGUUGGGAGGAAGGGCAGUAAGUUAAUACCUUGCUGUUUCGACGUUACCAACAGAAUAAGCACCGGCUAACUUCGUG
This 484-nucleotide ribosomal RNA is filed under the name uncultured bacterium. RNAcentral's name for it is "partial 16S ribosomal RNA". It matches the Rfam family "Bacterial small subunit ribosomal RNA", at positions 30 to 507 of the family's 1533-position model. The record is from RNAcentral.